This is an RNA transcript of Erigeron canadensis, 1980 nucleotides long. It is a transcript of the gene named U11/U12 small nuclear ribonucleoprotein 59 kDa protein, with no coding region annotated. The transcript is spliced from 9 exons. NCBI's taxonomy places the organism in Eukaryota, Viridiplantae, Streptophyta, Magnoliopsida, Asterales, Asteraceae. The record is from RefSeq and is a predicted model, not a curated record.
GAUUUAUAUUCAUUAUUAUUACUGACUUUAUGUUAAUUUCACUUAAUAAUCUGAUGCAGUAAUAUCUGUAUGAAUAAAAAAUGAUGCCACCAAUGAAUCCACCGCCGUUUCAGGCGGCGCCGUGGCUGCCACCGGUGGCACCACCGACCAGUAGCUUCUGGAAUACAACAAAUGUUCAAGCUACCUUAAAGGAAUUACACAACACUAUUCAUCUUGCUGAAGCAAUGGAGAAAGAGUUGGAGAUGCUUAUUGCAUUAAAAAGUGGUGAGGAGCGGUUUGAAGGGAGGGAGGACGCGGAGAAUGGGACUGCAAUUGAAAGGUUUUCAAAGUUUCUAGAGAGUAACAGGAUAGUGUUGGAUACUCAGGAGAAAAUUUCGCUGGAAGCAGCAAAUGGGUUAUUAGUUAAGCUUAAAAAUGAACUUGAGCCGUUUAAAGUUGUGACUGAUGAUAAAACGCCGUGGGAGGAAAAGUCUGCAGCAGUGAGGCUAUCAAAUAAAAUGCAGAAACACAAAAGAAACAAACUUUGGCGGAAAAGAAAGAGACGUCGCAUUGGGGAAAUGCUUGCAAAGGAGCGUGAGCAGUUUGAACAAGUUGACCAAGAAGCUGAUGAGUGGAGGGCUAGGGAAAUCGCAAAGGAAAUCGCAAAGCAGAAGGUUGAGAAGAUGAAGGAAAUUGCAAAGCAAAAGGCUAAAGAGGAGCGAAGGAAAUUAGAAUCAGAGCUGGAGCAAGUAUUAAUAGUAGAGAAGCUGCAAGAGUUACGAUCCAUCAGGAUCCAGAAACUAACAAAGCAAGGCCAUUUUCUCCCGGAGGAAGAUGACAAAUUUCUUGAGAGAAUUCGAGCUGCAGUCGAGGAAGAAGAGCGCCAAGCAAUGGCGGCUGCUGAAACAGGUGCUGCUAAAGAUGCUAUUGCAACUGCCGAGGAAUUUAGAAAUAUAACGGGUGGAAAUGUUCUAAGUUCAGAAGAUCAAAGCAAUGUAAAAGAUGGAGAGAAAUUAAUCCAUGGUAACUUAACGGAGACUGAAGCAAAAAGAAGCUCAAAGGAAACCUCUGCUUUGGAAUCUGGGAAACAAGGAUCCACAGUUGUGGGUCCCAACAGCGGAUAUGAUUAUUCUGCAAGCUUACCCCUUGAAUUUUAUCACUAUUAUCAUGGCAGCAGUACUGAUAUGGGGACGCUAAUUGAGGUGAGACGAACAUGGGAUGCAUAUUUAAGACCCGGAGGAAGUCGGAUUCCAGGUCAUUGGGUUCCACCACCCCCACCAGCUGACGAAGUAUGGGCAUCCUACCUUGUGAAACAUUGAUGAACUUUCGUAUUGUUCGCAUUAAGCUGUUUGAACUUGUUAGUGGCUGCUCCAUUUAUGGUUUGCAAAUGCCAGCAAGUUGUUGAGCUUCACAAAAGUUGUGGUUCCUUCCACUCAUCUUUAAACAAGGGGUCUUUGCUCUAUUCAAAGAUAUUGCAAAGUAUGUACAUACGGCCAUUAAAGUUCCUCUCCCAAACAUGAAGUGUACAGAAGGCCUUAAAGAGACAACCGUAACUGGCGAUGUUGCAUAUAGCGUGGGCGAGUGGUUUAGAAGAAACUUAGUUUGGAUGAAGUAGAAUAUUGCUUAUGAAGUGUGCUACUGUCGUUACUGUCAUUGGUUGUGGUGAUAAAGCUAAAUGCUAAAAGUUUAGGGCAUCAUUCUCUUCUUAAUUUUCAGUCACCUGGAGGCAUAUACGAUGACAAUGGGAAAGUACAUACAGAUGAUUCUCUUAAAGCUGGAGUCUUGAUGCAUUGACCAUCUUUUCCAUGUUUCUUCUCAUGACAAUGGGAAACUGCGGACAUAUAUGAUCCUUUGAAAUACACAUGCUUAUAUUAGAGAAAGAGACUUGAAUUUUAUUGUUCAUUGUUUAGUAUCUAAUUUUAUCUUUCCACAAAUGUUUCGUUACAUUCCUCAUUACAAAAUUGUAGCUUAUCAUCAGAUUUAGAAGUGUUGAAUGUUAAA